AUUAUAAAUUUAUAAUAUGUUGACUGCAAUGAAUGUACAAUAAAUUUUUAAAGGGAAAUUGCACUUUGUAUACAUAGAAGAUUACAAAAUUAAAUGUCAGAAAAAAUUACUGUUGAACCUUCUCUCUCUAUCAUGAAAAUACUCUUAUACCCUUAUACCAUAUUUGCUCUUACCGUUAAAUAUUUUGUUACCUUUUAAUAAUAAUGUUAUCAUCUUCUCAUAAUUAUACAAUCUUUGAAAUCAAAUCGUUGGUUCAAUAGCUGAUAAUUUGUUUAUAUCGUCAAUUGUAUUAUUAACAUGUUAAGUAGGUUUGUACCCUAAGUUUUUCAUCCGUAUAUCAAAAUUCUAUCCAUAUUUCGCUAACAAUAUUAUCCCGAUAAUACGUUAUCUGCUAACUAUUCUGAUGCAUGUAUUUUUUCUAUAUGAUUAUUCAGUCGCAAGUCAAUUUUUUUGGUUUUCAUGAUAAAUAUUUUGUUAUCUUUUAAUAAUAAUGUUACCGUCUUCGCAUAUAUAUGUGUCUUUGAAAUCUAAAAAUUAGUUCAAUA
Molecule: small RNA, 545 nt
Filed under: Arabidopsis thaliana (thale cress)
Lineage: Eukaryota; Viridiplantae; Streptophyta; Magnoliopsida; Brassicales; Brassicaceae
Description: ATSL109860
Source: RNAcentral